UAGGGAAUCUUCGGCAAUGGACGAAAGUCUGACCGAGCAACGCCGCGUGAGUGAAGAAGGUUUUCGGAUCGUAAAACUCUGUUGUUAGAGAAGAACAAGGACGUUAGUAACUGAACGUCCCCUGACGGUAUCUAACCAGAAAGCCACGGCUAACUACGUGCCAGCAGCCGCGGUAAUACGUAGGUGGCAAGCGUUGUCCGGAUUUAUUGGGCGUAAAGCGAGCGCAGGCGGUUUCUUAAGUCUGAUGUGAAAGCCCCCGGCUCAACCGGGGAGGGUCAUUGGAAACUGGGAGACUGGAGUGCAGAAGAGGAGAGUGUAAGUCUAUGUGUAGCGGUGAAGUGCGUGGAGAUAUAGAGGAACACCAGUGGCGAAGGCGGCUCUCUGGUCUGUAACUGACGCUGAGGCUCGAAAGCGUGGGGAGCAAACAGG
This 429-nucleotide ribosomal RNA is filed under the name Gemmatimonadota bacterium. RNAcentral's name for it is "Gemmatimonadetes bacterium partial 16S ribosomal RNA". It matches the Rfam family "Bacterial small subunit ribosomal RNA", at positions 355 to 776 of the family's 1533-position model. The record is from RNAcentral. Lineage: Bacteria; Pseudomonadati; Gemmatimonadota.